CUCAGAAUCAACGCUGGCGGCGUGCCUAACACAUGCAAGUCGAGCGAUGAAGCUCCUUCGGGAGUGGAUUAGCGGCGGACGGGUAAGUAACACGUGGGUAACCUGCCUCGUAGAGGGGAAUAGCCUUCCGAAAGGAAGAUUAAUACCGCAUAAGAUUGUAGUUUCGCAUGAAACAGCAAUUAAAGGAGUAAUCCGCUAUGGGAUGGACUCGCGUCCGAUUAGGUAGUUGGUGAGGUAACGGCCCACCAAGCCGACGAUCGGUAGCCGGACUGAGAGGUUGAUCGGCCACAUUGGGACCGAGACACGGCCCAGACUCCUACGGGAGGCAGCAGUGGGGGAUAUUGCACAAUGGAGGAAACUCUGAUGCAGCGACGCCGCGUGAGGGAAGAAGGUCUUCGGAUUGUAAACCUCUGUCUUUGGGGACGAAAGAAAUGACGGUACCCAAGGAGGAAGCCACGGCUAACUACGUGCCAGCAGCCGCGGUAAUACGUAGGUGGCGAGCGUUGUCCGGAAUUACUGGGUGUAAAGGGUGCGCAGGCGGGAUGUCAAGUUGGAUGUGAAAUCUCUAGGCUUAACCUAGAGUGUGCAUUCAAAACUGGCGUUCUUGAGUGAAGCAGAGGUAGGCGGAAUUCCCGGUGUAGCGGUGAAAUGCGUAGAGAUCGGGAGGAACACCUGUGGCGAAGGCGGCCUACUGGGCUUUAACUGACGCUGAGGCACGAAAGCAUGGGCAGCAAACAGGAUUAGAUACCCUGGUAGUCCAUGCUGUAAACGAUGAUUGCUAGGUGUGGGUGGACUGACCCCAUCCGUGCCGGAGUUAACACAAUAAGCAAUCCACCUGGGGAGUACGGCCGCAAGGUUGAA
Molecule: ribosomal RNA, 861 nt
Filed under: uncultured bacterium
Lineage: Bacteria
Description: bacterial SSU rRNA
Rfam family: Bacterial small subunit ribosomal RNA
Source: RNAcentral